UAACUCUGGUCUCUCUUCAAUUGUAGAAUAAAUCUUUCGCCUUCUACUGAAGAUUUCUGUGGAGAAGGACACUCUAAUGAGUUUGGCACACUUCUCUGCACGCCAGCCCUCCGUAUAGCACUU
Molecule: small nuclear RNA, 123 nt
Organism: Wyeomyia smithii (pitcher-plant mosquito)
Lineage: Eukaryota; Metazoa; Arthropoda; Insecta; Diptera; Culicidae
Product: U5 spliceosomal RNA
Exons: 1
Source: RefSeq, a predicted model, not a curated record